CUCUCCAAAUUUUGGUUUCCCCGCUUUUCACUUUACUUUUCCCCCUCUUUGCUUUCAAUUUUUUCUUCUUUCUUUUGCAGUUACUCUUAAACCUUUUGCUCUCAGAUCAUUCUUUCCCAAAAUUAUUAAAAAAAAAAAAAAACCUUUCCCAAUCUCUCUUCGAACCUGAAGUAUAUACCUCUCCUUUCAAGAUCCGAUCAAUCCACUGCUUUGUCGAAGCUUGAUUGGAACAUUAACGGCAAAUACAACUGAUUACGCGAUGGGACCAUGACAACGCUGAUGGUUCAGGAAUGCAAGAAUUGAUGCCGCGUAAGCUAAGAGGAGAAUAGAAAGUUCGGUAGAACACAUAUUUGAAGAUGUUUUGGGCGUUAGGGUCAGAUUUCGAACGACAACAAUGAAGUUGAAGGCUCUCUUAUCUGAGGUGGUUGAUUGUAGUGUCUAUGUGACAUGUUAGCUAGACCGAUCAUUAGCUGUGAAGGAUGAGAUAUUCUGCUUGUUUGAAAGAGCUCUAGACAAUUUAGGGAGCUUGAGACAACAAUAUGGACUUGCCAAAUCUGGAAAUGGCGUAGACGGAAGAUCCACUGCAUGUUAUGAUUUCCAUUGCUCCUGCUUCUGAUUAUUUGAAGGAUUUAUGCAAAGUGAGUGUGUGGAAGAGUGAAGCAACAGAGCAGGUAUGGCCAGUAACUCUGCUUCUGGUGAACCUUGUACAUGUAAGACUAGUGGAAUUUGUUUGUUUGUGUCUAUGACUACUUUAACUUUGUGGAAAAUGUGAGUGUCAAAUUUGUGUGUUUUUGUUUGCUCAUUUUUAUGAAGUCUGAAAUCAAUUUUAGUUUUAGUUUUACCUUGUAAGUGUCGUUUAUCUCUCAUUCUCAAGAUAAUGAGUUUUUUUUUAUUGGUGCUUCACAUGCUUAAAAUCUUUGGAAUGAUCCUUGUAUCUGUUUGCAGUGAAGAAACUGAAUGUUAUAGUUUUCGAGGACUAGAGUGAUGCACAAUUUCUUGAACUGAUAUCCAACAUCUAAUAAAUUUAGCAUGCCAAUAUUGCAAAUGUAGAAAACUAUAUAUAUUGAAUAUUGUCAUGUUCCGAUAUUUAAUUAUCUGUGCUUCUUUCUGGUCAAUAAUUAGUAUCCCAAAACGGGUUUUAUACCACAAGCGCCUAACAUCUAAUUGAUCGAUAUUAGACAAUGAUUUGAUUCUAACCUCCACAUCAUGUCAUUUGGUAAGUAUCCUAUCAUUUGAUUAUAUUAUUUUAAUAAACCUAAACACUUUUUCAAAUUUAUACUCUAGACUUCCCAAAGAGUUCCAUGACCAAGUGAAGGAUACAGGAAGGAAAAUUUGUUCCAGACCAACUUAAAAGAGAGUUACAUAAACUUUGGUAGAGCUAGAGGAAGAGCUAAGAGUUGCUUCUCUACAUGAUGAGAGGAGAUUGAUAUGCAUAAACUAAAUUGUUUGAGAGAAACUCUCAAAGAGGUGAGGAUAGCAGACAACAUAGCCAACAAUCUGAUGAUGAUAGUAUAUACAUGAAGUGGUUGGAGGCAUUAACAAGAAGGGAAACAUAUUUGGAUUAGGAUCUCAAGCAGCCACUAUCAAAGAAUCUUUGAAAUCCAGUGAAGUUUAGUUUUAGUUAUUUUCCGUUAUGUAUUUUCGUUAAAUCAAUUAUAUGUAUUUUUUUGUGUUGGACAACUUUAUGUCUGAUAUUAUUAUGUAGUGCCGUAGUAGCGCAUUUGAUACUUUGUAAGAAUGACAUACAUUUUUAUGUUAAUUUGCAAAUUUGGUGUCGAUUUUUUUUUUUUAA
Long non-coding RNA from Trifolium pratense (red clover), 1792 nucleotides. RefSeq lists it as uncharacterized. The transcript has 6 exons. The record is from RefSeq and is a predicted model, not a curated record. Lineage: Eukaryota; Viridiplantae; Streptophyta; Magnoliopsida; Fabales; Fabaceae.